CACGUAGGGCGCAAGCGUUGUCCGGAAUUAUUGGGCGUAAAGAGCUCGUAGGCGGUCUGUUGCGUCCGCUGUGAAAACUCGAGGCUCAACCUCGAGACGUCGGUGGAAACCGUUUGGCUAGAGUCCGGAAGAGGAGAGUGGAAUUCCCGGUGUAGCGGUGAAAUGCGCAGAUAUCGGGAAGAACACCCGUGGCGAAGGCGGCUCUCUGGGACGGUACUGACGCUGAGACGCGAAAGCGUGGGGAGCGAACAGG
Molecule: ribosomal RNA, 253 nt
Filed under: uncultured bacterium
Lineage: Bacteria
Description: partial 16S ribosomal RNA
Rfam family: Bacterial small subunit ribosomal RNA
Source: RNAcentral